UUCACGCCGUGCGCGCGCGUCCAGACGUCCGCGCGUCCACGCGUCGCGCGCGACGUUCGCUCUCGAACCCUCGUCGAUUCGUCGCCGCGCUCGCGCGACGUCCUCGCGCGCGCGUCUGCGGGCGGCGCGUCGUCGCGCGCGCGCGGGGUCGUAUUGGUCCGUGUGGGCUUGACCGAGCCCCCACACACGCGGGUGUUUUCG
This 201-nucleotide long non-coding RNA is filed under the name Ostreococcus sp. 'lucimarinus'. RNAcentral's name for it is "long non-coding RNA (OLUC_LNC000059)". The record is from RNAcentral. Lineage: Eukaryota; Viridiplantae; Chlorophyta; Mamiellophyceae; Mamiellales; Bathycoccaceae.